This is a non-coding RNA of Triticum aestivum (bread wheat), 115 nucleotides long. NCBI's taxonomy places the organism in Eukaryota, Viridiplantae, Streptophyta, Magnoliopsida, Poales, Poaceae. The record is from Rfam.
CUUGUACUCCCUCCGUCCGAAAAUACUUGUCAUUGAAAUGGAUGUAUGUAGAUGUAUUUUAGUUCUAGACACAUCCAUUUUGAUGACAAGUAAUUCCGGACGGAGGGAGUACUUG